UCCCUGGUGGCUGAGAGGGUAAAGCGUCUGCCUGCAAUGCAGGAGACCCAGGUUCGAUCCCUGGGUCGGGAA
RNAcentral lists this transfer RNA (72 nucleotides) under Ovis aries (sheep). It matches the Rfam family "tRNA". From Rfam's summary of the family: Transfer RNA (tRNA) molecules are approximately 80 nucleotides in length. Their secondary structure includes four short double-helical elements and three loops (D, anti-codon, and T loops). Lineage: Eukaryota; Metazoa; Chordata; Mammalia; Artiodactyla; Bovidae. The record is from Rfam by way of RNAcentral.